RNAcentral lists this ribosomal RNA (497 nucleotides) under uncultured bacterium. RNAcentral describes it as "partial 16S ribosomal RNA". It matches the Rfam family "Bacterial small subunit ribosomal RNA", at positions 28 to 507 of the family's 1533-position model. The record is from RNAcentral.
GAUGAACGCUGGCGGCGUGCCUAAUACAUGCAAGUCGAGCGAACGGACGAGAAGCUUGCUUUUCUGAUGUUAGCGGCGGACGGGUGAGUAACACGUGGAUAACCUACCUAUAAGACUGGGAUAACUUCGGGAAACCGGAGCUAAUACCGGAUAAUAUUUUGAACCGCAUGGUUCAACAGUGAAAGACGGUCUUGCUGUCCCUUAUAGAUGGAACCGCGCUGCAUUAGCUAGUUGGUAGGGUAACGGCUUACCAAGGCAACGAUGCAUAGCCGACCUGAGAGGAUGAUCGGCCACACUGGAACUGAGACACGGUCCAGACUCCUACGGGAGGCAGCAGUAGGGAAUCUUCCGCAAUGGGCGAAAGCCUGACGGAGCAACGCCGCGUGUGUGAUGAAGGUCUUCGGAUCGUAAAACACUGUUAUUAGGGAAGAACAUAUGUGUGAGUAACUCUGCACAUCUUGACGGUACCUAAUCAGAAAGCCCCGGCUAACUACGUG